This 253-nucleotide ribosomal RNA is filed under the name uncultured bacterium. Its description in RNAcentral is "partial 16S ribosomal RNA". It matches the Rfam family "Bacterial small subunit ribosomal RNA", at positions 524 to 776 of the family's 1533-position model. The record is from RNAcentral.
UACGAAGGGGGCUAGCGUUGUUCGGAAUUACUGGGCGUAAAGCGCACGUAGGCGGAUUGUUAAGUCGGGGGUGAAAUCCUGGAGCUCAACUUCAGAACUGCCUUCGAUACUGGCGAUCUCGAGUUCGGGAGAGGUGAGUGGAACUGCGAGUGUAGAGGUGAAAUUCGUAGAUAUUCGCAAGAACACCCGUGGCGAAGGCGGUUCUCUGGGACGGUACUGACGCUGAGACGCGAAAGCGUGGGGAGCGAACAGG